GCACAAGCGGUGGAGUAUGUGGUUUAAUUCGAUGCAACGCGAAGAACCUUACCUAGGUUUGACAUCCGGAAGACCUUCCCGAAAAGGAAGGGUGCCCUUCGGGGAAUUCCGAGACAGGUGCUGCAUGGCUGUCGUCAGCUCGUGCCGUGAGGUGUUGGGUUAAGUCCCGCAACGAGCGCAACCCUAUUGCCAGUUGCUACCAGGUAAUGCUGGGCACUCUGGUGAGACUGCCCCGGUUAACGGGGAGGAAGGUGGGGACGACGUCAAGUCAUCAUGGCCCUUACGCCUAGGGCUACACACGUACUACAAUGGCGCAUACAAAGGGCAGCGAUACCGCGAGGUGGAGCCAAUCCCAAAAAGUGCGUCCCAGUCCGGAUUGCAGUCUGCAACUCGACUGCAUGAAGUUGGAAUCGCUAGUAAUUCGAGAUCAGCAUGCUCGGGUGAAUGCGUUCCCGGGCCUU
This 461-nucleotide ribosomal RNA is filed under the name uncultured Desulfovibrio sp. RNAcentral's name for it is "bacterial SSU rRNA". It matches the Rfam family "Bacterial small subunit ribosomal RNA", at positions 923 to 1382 of the family's 1533-position model. The record is from RNAcentral. Lineage: Bacteria; Pseudomonadati; Thermodesulfobacteriota; Desulfovibrionia; Desulfovibrionales; Desulfovibrionaceae.